ACAGCAAGAAUCACCUUCUCACUUAAUCGUUGCAUUGUUUGAUGCAACACAGUUAAUCAACAUGUAAUUAAAUAACUAUUUCACACUUUCAUUAAUUAUUCAGAAUGGUUAACUGAAGAUAUUGAAAUGUGUGAAAGUAAGUUAGUCUGGGGGGGCGGGGAAAUAUUUGUUUAUCAAGAAUCUGAAAAUGUCUCUAUUUUGCAAUGACAGAAUCACAGAAUCGAGAGAAUCUGGCCAGAAAUCAACAACCGGGUUAACUACCCGUUGAAAGCUGCAUUGGUCCAACUGGUGGAUCAGGAGGAGCUGGACAUGGAGGACCAGAUGACUCGGUUCUGUGUGUCAUCUUUGACAUGCCAGUUGGCCCAGAUCGGUGUUAACCGAACUGUGCAAGCAUGGAAUGCACACAGGAUUCCUGGGAGGGGGAUACCAAAUUACUUGGCCAGAGAUGGAUGCCCAAAGAAGCUGUCGACAGACCUUUUGCCAAAUGCAUCUGUGGCUGCAGACUGGUACGACCAGGAAGUGGGCUCACUGACACGAGUGUCAGACUUUGGCACCAACCCAUUUCAAAGGUCACAGGACCAGGAAGCUGCAGUGAGGGAAUUUUCUCUGCAGUGCCCUGAUACAAGUGUACUGCUGGACAAUGCAGUGAAUAAUCUGCCACAACCGUUCAAAGAUGGACUCAAAGGCCUCAUCGACAUCUCAAGGAGAAAUUGUCAACGCUGAUGUUUUUUUGUGUGUCUAAGUUGUUAUUGUCUGUGCUUUUUAAUUAAUUGGUUCAACUGACGGGAUGUUUUUUUCUUUUCUUCAAAUGUUGGGGGUUUAAAGGGAGAAAUAUGUUCUUUUUGAAUAAACACUUAUGUCUUUAAAGUC
Pseudoliparis swirei is the source of this 870-nucleotide long non-coding RNA. RefSeq lists it as uncharacterized. NCBI's taxonomy places the organism in Eukaryota, Metazoa, Chordata, Actinopteri, Perciformes, Liparidae. The record is from RefSeq and is a predicted model, not a curated record. The transcript is spliced from 2 exons.